UAGAUACCCUGGUAGUCCACGCCGUAAACGAUGUCAACUAGCCGUUGGGAGUCUUGAACUCUUAGUGGCGCAGCUAACGCAUUAAGUUGACCGCCUGGGGAGUACGGCCGCAAGGUUAAAACUCAAAUGAAUUGACGGGGGCCCGCACAAGCGGUGGAGCAUGUGGUUUAAUUCGAAGCAACGCGAAGAACCUUACCAGGCCUUGACAUCCAAUGAACUUUCUAGAGAUAGAGAUUUCCUUCGGGACAGA
Molecule: ribosomal RNA, 250 nt
Filed under: uncultured bacterium
Lineage: Bacteria
Description: partial 16S ribosomal RNA
Rfam family: Bacterial small subunit ribosomal RNA
Source: RNAcentral